AGAGGACCCAUCAGGUCGCUCAGAGCCCUCUCUGGGAUUGACCUAUAAAUGCUGAGGCAGAGAAGUUUUCUUUCUGCUAAACUGGAAGGAAGUAAAUCUGUAACAGCCAACAGCCACAUCUCUCCCUCCCUCAUUAGAGAGCCGCAGAAGGAAGCUGACAGCUAGAGGGAGAUAAAGCUAGACACAUAGAAGGGGAGCUGAUGCUAUCACCUGAGCCCUGGAUCCGGCUGUGCCUGAAGGACUUUCCCUGGCCUUCCCAGGCUUUGCCACUCACAACCAAAAGAGGCUUCACUAACACAGGCAUUGCUGCCUGGAGAAGAGAUGUCAUGAGAGACAGAUCCCACGAUGUGGAGCAGGCUGGGUCUCAAGCCUGAAAUCCCUCCCGUUGUUGUCACCAGUGACUUCGGCACCCCCAGGAGAAGAGUGUUUUCCCCAGAAGUUCUUAUGGGAAAAAAGUCUGAGUUUGUCCCCAGAGGAAGGGAAGAAGACUCUAAGAAGAAGGGCCCGCCCGGGACAGGUAAGUGUUUGAUGGAGCAAUCGGGUGAAAAUCUAGAACCAAGCGUGCUGCAGGGGAGAGGAACCAUAGAAGGGUCAGGGUGGGGACACACUGCCCAGCCCGGACGACCCGGUGUGCACCCACAGCUGGUGCCCACAGCAGCAGCGCCCUGCCCCGCGGGGGUGCCGGUGCCUGCCUCUCCCGCUUCUCUUCGAGGCUCACUACCCAGGGCCCCCGGGCCGCCAGGGAGGGGGCCACCUUACCUAGUCCUGGGGCUGUCGAUCCCGCUCCCUGGGGGAGAUCCAGGGCAGCCCCCGCCCCCCACCCCGCUCGCCAAGGGUGCCCUGUCACACGCAGUCCUGGCGGCUGCACCCGCAGAAACACUAAUUGGGAAGUGAGACAAGCAGAGCGCCUUUAAUGAGCUACCUUGUUGUAACUCUAACUGGUUGGCGUUAUUUACAGAGAUUCUGCUAAUGAGGUGCCUGUCAGAGGGGGAGCCCACGAUGGGGGCAGGGCGGGGAAGGCGGCCCAGCUGGAGGGAAGAGGGUAGACUCCGAGGAAGGGGGAAGGAAGCUCACCUCGGCUGGGCUCCUGGGCCAGAGCCCCUUUAGCCACGUGAUCUCACCCAGCGCCAGCCCCCCAGGAGGCCAGGUGAGGUGCGCAGGGAAAGAACCUACGGAAGCCACACGGGGCGCAGUCCAGGCUGCCCCUCAACCAACGCCCCUCGGGCACCUGCCGCAGGCAGAAGGCAGGUCGGCCCAGGGCCCAGGAAUCGAGAUGCAGAGGAGCACAGGUCUGUGGGAAAGCACCUUCUGGGAAGGAGGCCGCGCCCACCUGGCACUCACCUGGAGUCCAGAUCCGCUCUGGAGGGUGUUCCCCACCUGCCAUCUUCCCUUUUCUCCAGAGUUCACACGCCUUGAACUCCUUGAUCGCCAAGGCGAUCCCCUUGGGCCCGGGGUCUCCCCACCACCCCUCAGGCCAGGUAGCCCUGGGCUGUGAGUCUCCCUCCAGCAAGAGAGGAGUUUGCGCCUCCCCCGCUGCCCUCACAGUCUGUCUACCUUAGACGGGAGCGGCUUUGGCUGCAGUUGAAGGGAGUCGGCGCUGGGACUCAACCUGGAUCCUGAAGAUCCAGUCUGGGGUUUAGAGUACCUCGCUGUGGCUGAAAUAAGGAGAAAAAAGGACUCUGACCAUUGGAGUCUUAGUUUUUAAGCCUGUGAAAUGGGAUUAAUAAAAUCUGCCUUUCUGGAACAUCGUGGGAUCCUGAAGGGAGUCAUGAAAUCGCUUCAAAAACACUAAGGUGCCCAAGCCCAGUGUCAUUAUCGUUUUUUCUUAGCAGUGGGUAUCUGGGUGCUGAUGCUGAAACUAAGCUCUCCACCCUGAUAGGGACACUUGGCUGGCUUAUCGUCUUAUCCCACUGGGCCCCGAGAUCCCUCUUGCCUUCUCUGUUCUCACUGUCACAGCCCUCUUCUCUCCUACUACCUGUCAAGAUUGGCAUCUCUUUAAUUAUAAUGUCUGUGCGUGUCUUUAGGAGCCAUGUAAUUCCUCCUGACAGCCACCUAUUUAAAAUGAAAGUCAAACACUCAGAAUUUUGUUUAAGAGUUGAGUCUUGGGGAGAAAAUGCAUUAAUUGCUAAAUGUUGCUAAUUUCAUUCUGAUGUGGUAACAAAAAGAAUGAAUAUAUAUGUGUGUGUGUGUAUAUAUAUAUAUAUUCUCUCUGUAUACACACACACACACACACACAAGAGGACCAGUGAAACCAGUACAAGGGAAAGGAUGGGGUCAGAAUGUCAGAGCCAGAGGUUCAUCUCAGAGCUGGUCAGCCAAACCCCUUCUUCAUUUCACAGAUGAGGACACUGAGGCCCAGAGACAUUAAGUGACUCCGUGAAGGCUGCCCAAGCCUAGGCGGCAGAUCCAAGGCCAACUGAAGCCUGCAGGCUCCAGUGUCCUCCGUGCAGCAGCUGGUUGAUCCCGGGGAAACAAAAGCCGUGCAUUCCUUCUGCGUAUCAGCACUCAGGCCAUCUGGGGUGUUGCCCGCCCUGCAGGGCUGCUGUGUUUGCAAGUGCUGCCUGCCAGGGGUCCUUGUGCUGCACAAGGGGCCUGCAGAGACUCUCCUCUGAGGCUGGAGAUUUGUGCCUCGCUAGCCGGGAUAGUGGGCACAGACCCACUGAGCAGCCAUCUGCGGAAACUGAGUGGUGAGACACAGGUGCCAAGGGCCUUCGCCGGCAACCAAGACUGCCUUCCACAGGCCAGAGCUUGGGAAAGUGCCCAGUGGGCAAGCAGGGCAGCUUGCAUGGGCUCCAGCCCUGGCCCAGCGUGCCUCCGCAGCCUCUUGAUGAAGAAGGGCUGCGAGGGAAUCCAUGCGCCAACGUGUGGGCACCACUAUAAAGUGGAUGGAGCAUGAUUUCUGAACUCAGAGAGCCAUCAGCUCAGAUUCCUUCUUUGCUGGGCAAACUCAGUGAGCUGUUUCAACCUCUCUUGUGUUUUAGACCCUGCAUCUGGCCAGUGUAACUCACAGUGUUGAUCGUGCAGAGUUGGUUUGGGGGACUGCCGAGUGAAUGUGUGCCAUGUGCCAGCCCAGGGCUUCUCUCUACACCAAAAAGGCAGCAGAGGCUUAGACCAGCAAGCACAAAACAGGGACCCAAGGGCCUUGUUCAGCCACAUACAGAUCUGCACGAGCAGUUAUAAAGAUGUAAUUUGAAGGCACCCUGGACAGGGUCUGAGCUCCCCCAUGUGUCCCACACCCACUGUUCCAUGUAAGCUCACAGCCAGCCACUUCAUUUUUGUGCAUCUCCUGACUUUGCAGCCCUGGAGGGAAUCUUUCCUGCUUGCUUAAAAAGAUGAAAGUCUUGCCCACAUCCUUUCCCACUCCCAGGUAAAACCCCAUGUGUUCUCCAUCCCAACUCUGAUAACACGGCCAGACCACAUCCAGGUUCCCAUUCACCUGGGAGCACCCAGAGGGCAGGUGCCAUGUCAUAUCCCUACAUGAGCAGAGGUCAGCUCUGGAUAGAUACAAUCAUUCAACAAAUGGGGGUUUGUGUCUAGGCUCUAGGGACAUAGUUGUGAACAAUUUUGACAAGGGCCAAGUCUUUUCAGAGCUGAUAUUCUCGUGGGAGAGACAAACAAUUAACACUGAAGUCAACAGUAUACUUAAGAUGAAGAAGGGAAAAGAAGGGAAUGUGCUAGACCAGCAGGGGAGUGAGUGAGUAAGAAUGAGAAUUUCGGUUCAACCACACAUGAGCCUUUCAUAGUCUCAAAUAGGAAGAACAAUGAACAAGAUUCAGUGAGGCACUGAAUCCUCAAGCUUCAUGGUUCAACUGACUCUUUUAACCAGAAUCUGGCCCCUUGUGCUCAGCCCCACUGCUACCUCCCUGGACCAAGCCCUCAUCUUCUCUUGCCUGCAUUACUGCUAACAGCCUCAUGGCUGCUAUCCCCGGUGCUGCCAUUGACCCCUCUAUAACCAACUGCCAACACAGUACCCACAAGGAUCCUUUUAAAAUGUAAAUCAGACAAAACAUGAGAGACACCUAACUCUGGGAAACGAACAAGGAGUAGUGGAAAGGGAGGUGGGCAGGGGGUUGGAGUGACUGGAUGACAGGCACUGAGGGGGGCACUUGGCGGGAUGAGCACUGGGUGUUAUGCUAUAUGUUGGCAAAUUGACGUCCAAUAAAAAAAUUUUUUUUUAUUAAAAAAAUAAAGUAAAAAGUAAGUCAGAGCACCUUUCCUCUACACAACACCCGAUUGGCCCUGGUGCCAUUCUGAACAAAAGCCAAGGUCUUCCUAUGUCUUACUUAGAAGGCCCCAUGUGACCUGGCCCCAGUGGCCUCCUUGCUGUUUCUGGAAAUGCCAGGAAUGCUUCUGCCUCAGGAUCUCUGCAUGUGCUGUGCCCAUCCUCAUCCCUGUGGAGCCCACACAACAGCAAAAGCAGCAGCAAUAAUCCUAGCUCAAGCAGACAGGGCCGAGCCUGACAGCUCAGGUUCAAAUCCACGUCUGCCAUGUCCCAGUUGGCAGCCUUGGGGAGGGCGCCUGACCUCUCUGUGCUCAGUCUCCCCAUCUGUAAAAUCAGUGUACUGCUUCUCCU
Molecule: long non-coding RNA, 4573 nt
Filed under: Canis lupus familiaris (dog)
Lineage: Eukaryota; Metazoa; Chordata; Mammalia; Carnivora; Canidae
Description: lncRNA (ENSCAFG00040025827.1)
Source: RNAcentral